Molecule: ribosomal RNA, 454 nt
Filed under: uncultured bacterium
Lineage: Bacteria
Description: partial 16S ribosomal RNA
Rfam family: Bacterial small subunit ribosomal RNA
Source: RNAcentral
GGUGAACGCUGACAGAAUGCUUAACACAUGCAAGUCAACUUGAACUUCGGUUUGGGUGGCGGACGGGUGAGUAACGCGUAAAGAACUUGCCUCACAGAUAGGGACAACAUUUGGAAACGAAUGCUAAUACCUGAUAUUAUGAUUUUAGGGCAUCCUAGGAUUAUGAAAGCUAUAUGCGCUGUGAGAGAGCUUUGCGUCCCAUUAGCUAGUUGGAGAGGUAACGGCUCACCAAGGCGAUGAUGGGUAGCCGGCCUGAGAGGGUGAUCGGCCACAAGGGGACUGAGACACGGCCCUUACUCCUACGGGAGGCAGCAGUGGGGAAUAUUGGACAAUGGACCAAGAGUCUGAUCCAGCAAUUCUGUGUGCACGAUGAAGUUUUUCGGAAUGUAAAGUGCUUUCAGUUGGGAAGAAAAAAAUGACGGUACCAACAGAAGAAGUGACGGCUAAAUACGUG